AAGUUGUAACAAGGUUUCCGUAGGUGAACCUGCGGAAGGAUCAUUAACAAAUCCAUGGUAUUCUUGAACAUCCCUAAUGGGGGUUUGAGAAGAACAUAAACUCGCUCGGUGUGAAAGCAUCGGGUGCUGUAUAUUAAUGUAUGUUGUGUAGACAAAGUGUGUGAUACAAAAAAUAAAUGACAACUUUUAACAAUGGAUCUCUAGGCUCUU
This 210-nucleotide unclassified non-coding RNA is filed under the name fungal sp. RNAcentral describes it as "partial internal transcribed spacer region". The stretch from base 1 to 46 matches the Rfam family "Eukaryotic small subunit ribosomal RNA", at positions 1786 to 1831 of the family's 1831-position model. The record is from RNAcentral. Lineage: Eukaryota; Fungi.